CGUUAAAGACGACGUAAACCCGGGUGGGUGUCGACGGUACACUUUCCCUCCGGGUUUGGCAGUUGGCUUGGAAGUGUAGAGUCUCUCACCUCCGCUUAUAAUUCCUUCCGAAUCAUAAUUUUCUGUGAUCCUUUCGCUUGUUGUAUGCUUGGGGAUGUUUGAGGCAGAUUUGUAACCGCCGUUUUGAGGCCAGCUUGCUGGUACCCAAACAGCGUUAGCAUCUUUUGUCUUGGACAUUUGAGUAUGGCUUACGGGCAUUUAUUGGUUCGAUCUGAUUGUAAGUUACGGACGCAUGCGACACGUGCUUUUCAUUUAGAUCGCUCCAGUUAAUGCUCUCGUACUCGCUCCCCAUGUAAAAGCCGGUCAUCUAUCCGACCCGUCUUGAAACACGGACCAAGGAGUUUAUCGUGUGCGCAAGUUUUUGGGUGUUAAAAACCUAAAAGCGAAAUGAAAGUAAAUGGCUCUUUAGAGUCUGAUGUGCGAUCUUGUAAAAAAGGGCAGCAUGGCCCCAUUCUAACUGUUUACAGUAGGGUGGAGGAAAAGCGUACGCGGUGAGACCCGAAAGAUGGUGAACUAUUCCUGAGCGGACGAAGCCCCAGGAAACUCUGGUGGAAGUCCGAAGCGGUCUGACCUGCAAUCCAUCGUCUGACUUGGGGAUAGGGGGGACAGACUAAUCCCACCAUCUACCAGCUGGUCCCU
Molecule: ribosomal RNA, 699 nt
Filed under: Meloidogyne enterolobii
Lineage: Eukaryota; Metazoa; Nematoda; Chromadorea; Rhabditida; Meloidogynidae
Description: eukaryotic LSU rRNA
Rfam family: Eukaryotic large subunit ribosomal RNA
Source: RNAcentral